RNAcentral lists this ribosomal RNA (449 nucleotides) under uncultured bacterium. RNAcentral describes it as "partial 16S ribosomal RNA". It matches the Rfam family "Bacterial small subunit ribosomal RNA", at positions 29 to 523 of the family's 1533-position model. The record is from RNAcentral.
AACGAACGCUGGCGGCAUGCCUAACACAUGCAAGUCGAACGAGACCUUCGGGUCUAGUGGCGCACGGGUGCGUAACGCGUGGGAAUCUGCCCUUGGGUUCGGAAUAACAGUUAGAAAUGACUGCUAAUACCGGAUGAUGACGUAAGUCCAAAGAUUUAUCGCCCAAGGAUGAGCCCGCGUAGGAUUAGCUAGUUGGUAAGGUAAAGGCUUACCAAGGCGACGAUCCUUAGCUGGUCUGAGAGGAUGAUCAGCCACACUGGGACUGAGACACGGCCCAGACUCCUACGGGGGGCAGCAGUGGGGAAUAUUGGACAAUGGGCGAAAGCCUGAUCCAGCAAUGCCGCGUGAGUGAUGAAGGCCUUAGGGUUGUAAAGCUCUUUUACCAGGGAUGAUAAUGACAGUACUUGAGGAGGAAGCCCCGGCUAACUACGUGCCAGCCGCCGCCGUAA